UCUUCUGGUUAAUACAAGGAGGAUGAGACGAGGUUUCAAGCUGAGCAUAAAACAAAUAGUAUGACUUUCUGUCUUCUCAUUUCUCUGUUUGCUGUUUACUUUAAGAUUUUAGUGUAAACUUGUUGUUUAGCAUUCUUGUUACUUAGUUGAUUUAGAAAAAAAAAAUGAAGUAUAAAACUUCCAUAAACUUAGAAAAGAGAAGAAAAAAACAUAGGGUUAAUUUUAAGGGAAAUAGGAAGUUAUUACUUAAAUCAAAAUUGUAAUUAAUCUACUCACUCAAAGAUGGAACCUAAUCAUGAAAAGAAUGACCGAUGAAUCGUAAAUCUUAAAGAAUGUGUAGAGAAUUUAGAAGUUUAGGUAAAUUAAAUAAAAUAAAAUUUUAGAAUAACUGAAGAAUAAAAUUAUAUAUUAUCAUAAUUUAUAUUUUUAUCCUUAAUAAAAUAAGUUCAACAUAAAUUAUUAAUGUAAUGUUGGAUAUUUUUCAUAGUGUGUGCCCACAUGGGUGUGUUUUGUAACCCCUACUCCUAGGAUUUUACAUGUCUUUUUAUGUGUGCUGGGUCUCUUUAACUGCACCAUUAAAUAUUAUUUAUUAAUGUAAUGUUGGAUAUUUUUCAUAGUGUGUGCCCACAUGGGUGUGUUUUGUAACCCCUACUCCUAGGAUUUUACAUGUCUUUUUAUGUGUGCUGGGUCUCUUUAACUGCACCAUUAAAUAUUAUUUAUUGAUAAAAAGUGUUGAACAUCUCUAGCAGGUACAACUCUGUAAGCGCUGGUAUAAAGUAUUGAGGCACUUAUACUUAGCCAGGAGCGCCUGAAGUCACUCAAAUCUCAGUGGAGGAUGCUGAAGUAUGAUGGGAGUAGGCAUGGUUGAUGGCAGAAUGACGGUGAAAAAAGGCCUUCGAAUGCCAUGGCACAGCCGCUGGUAUGGCUCAGUUGCUGGAGUAUGCAACAUCACCACUUUGCUGCUUCCUGAACAUUAGUCGUGAACGAAGAUGAAGCCAUAAGUGUCAAGGAAAAUAGCAUGAACAAAAGGAUGGAUGGGAUCUGUGCAGGGGUUGAGUAUCAAUAUCAAACCCACGUCCGAUCCUCUGGUGAAAACUCAGGCAGCGAACAACCAUGGAAGCUACAAUUACCAAGUCAAGGCUGUUCAAGAAGAUGUGAAGAUGUGCAGGGCAAGGACCGUGUGGACAACAAUCUGAAGCAUAAGGGCAAGAUUUGUAUCCUUGUCUGUAAUUUUUUGCUGCUGUCCUGCUCGUAGGAUUCAUCUUUUCUUGAUGGUGUUAUUUAUGCGUGUUUUAUGUGCUGAUGCUGGUGUGUUGUUCCUGGUUAUGCUUAGGCAGUAGGAUUUUCUUUUCUUUGAAGAAAACAU
RNAcentral lists this long non-coding RNA (1366 nucleotides) under Phaseolus vulgaris (common bean). RNAcentral describes it as "long non-coding RNA (PVUL_LNC005191)". Lineage: Eukaryota; Viridiplantae; Streptophyta; Magnoliopsida; Fabales; Fabaceae. The record is from RNAcentral.